CGAACGAUGAACCGGUGCUUGCAUCGGGGAUUAGUGGCGAACGGGUGAGUAACACGUGAGUAACCUGCCCUUGACUCUGGGAUAAGCCUGGGAAACUGGGUCUAAUACCGGAUAUGACCUUCCAUCGCAUGGUGGUUGGUGGAAAGCUUUUGUGGUUUUGGAUGGACUCGCGGCCUAUCAGCUUGUUGGUGAGGUAAUGGCUUACCAAGGCGACGACGGGUAGCCGGCCUGAGAGGGUGACCGGCCACACUGGGACUGAGACACGGCCCAGACUCCUACGGGAGGCAGCAGUGGGGAAUAUUGCACAAUGGGCGCAAGCCUGAUGCAGCGACGCCGCGUGAGGGAUGACGGCCUUCGGGUUGUAAACCUCUUUCAGUAGGGAAGAAGCGAAAGUGACGGUACCUGCAGAAGAAGCGCCGGCUAACUACGUGCCAGCAGCCGCGGUAAUACGUAGGGCGCAAGCGUUAUCCGGAAUUAUUGGGCGUAAAGAGCUCGUAGGCGGUUUGUCGCGUCUGCCGUGAAAGUCCGGGGCUCAACUCCGGAUCUGCGGUGGGUACGGGCAGACUAGAGUGAUGUAGGGGAGACUGGAAUUCCUGGUGUAGCGGUGAAAUGCGCAGAUAUCAGGAGGAACACCGAUGGCGAAGGCAGGUCUCUGGGCAUUAACUGACGCUGAGGAGCGAAAGCAUGGGGAGCGAACAGGAUUAGAUACCCUGGUAGUCCAUGCCGUAAACGUUGGGCACUAGGUGUGGGGGACAUUCCACGUUUUCCGCGCCGUAGCUAACGCAUUAAGUGCCCCGCCUGGGGAGUAC
RNAcentral lists this ribosomal RNA (809 nucleotides) under Arthrobacter sp. RNAcentral's name for it is "bacterial SSU rRNA". It matches the Rfam family "Bacterial small subunit ribosomal RNA", at positions 63 to 883 of the family's 1533-position model. The record is from RNAcentral. Lineage: Bacteria; Bacillati; Actinomycetota; Actinomycetes; Micrococcales; Micrococcaceae.